RNAcentral lists this long non-coding RNA (250 nucleotides) under Brassica napus (rape). RNAcentral's name for it is "long non-coding RNA (BNAP_LNC012987)". The record is from RNAcentral. Lineage: Eukaryota; Viridiplantae; Streptophyta; Magnoliopsida; Brassicales; Brassicaceae.
UGAUUCUGACGAAUUUCUGACGAACCAGUCCGUCGGUAUAAUUUCGUCGGAAAAAAAAGAUUCGUCGGAAUUUCGUCAGACCUUCCGACGACUUUCUGACGAAUACCGAGAAACGUCAUUCUGACGAACUUCCGACGAUAUUCCGAUGCGGACACACGAGACCAGAGUUCAUCGAAAAAACUAUAUACCGACGGAGCACGUCCCUCGGACAAUACCGACGAACCGAGUCCUCGGAAAAUACCGACGGAUA